GGGGCCCGCACAAGCGGCGGAGCAUGCGGAUUAAUUCGAUGCAACGCGAAGAACCUUACCAAGGCUUGACAUAUACGAGAACGCACGAGAGAUCGUGCACUCUUUGGACACUCGUAUACAGGUGGUGCAUGGUUGUCGUCAGCUCGUGUCGUGAGAUGUUGGGUUAAGUCCCGCAACGAGCGCAACCCUCGUUCUAUGUUGCCAGCACGUAAUGGUGGGAACUCAUAGGAGACUGCCGGGGUCAACUCGGAGGAAGGUGGGGAUGACGCCAAAUCAUCAUGCCCCUUAUGUCUUGGGCUUCAAGCGUGCUACAAUGGCCGGUACAAAGGGCUGCAAUACCGUAAGGUGGAGCGAAUCCCAAAAAGCCGGUCUCAGUUCGGAUUGAGGUCUGCAACUCGACCUCAUGAAGUCGGAGUCGCUAGUAAUCGCAGAUCAGCAACGCUGCGGUGAAUACGUUCCCGGGUCUUGUACACACCGCCCGUCAAGUCAUGAAAGUCGGUAACACCCGAAGCCAGUGGCCUAACCGCAAGGAAGGAGCUGUCGAAGGUGGGAUCGGUAAUUAGGACUAAGUCGUAACAAGGUAACCGUAAGGGC
This 594-nucleotide ribosomal RNA is filed under the name uncultured bacterium. RNAcentral's name for it is "bacterial SSU rRNA". It matches the Rfam family "Bacterial small subunit ribosomal RNA", at positions 916 to 1509 of the family's 1533-position model. The record is from RNAcentral.